UACGUAGGGGGCAAGCGUUGUCCGGAAUCAUUGGGCGUAAAGCGCGUGUAGGCGGCUUGGUAAGUCUGCUCUGAAAGCCCGGGGCUCAACCCCGGGAGGCGGGUGGAUACUGUCAAGCUCGAGUCCGGAAGAGGAGUGUGGAAUUCCCGGUGUAGCGGUGAAAUGCGCAGAUAUCGGGAAGAACACCCGUGGCGAAGGCGGCUCUCUGGGACGGUACUGACGCUGAGACGCGAAAGCGUGGGGAGCGAACAGG
This 253-nucleotide ribosomal RNA is filed under the name uncultured bacterium. RNAcentral describes it as "partial 16S ribosomal RNA". It matches the Rfam family "Bacterial small subunit ribosomal RNA", at positions 524 to 776 of the family's 1533-position model. The record is from RNAcentral.